Molecule: microRNA precursor, 103 nt
Filed under: Xyrichtys novacula (pearly razorfish)
Lineage: Eukaryota; Metazoa; Chordata; Actinopteri; Labriformes; Labridae
Rfam family: mir-205 microRNA precursor family (bases 20-94)
Source: RNAcentral
UGAGCGUUUUGACGUCCAUGUUUUCUAUCCUUCAUUCCACCGGAGUCUGUGUCGAGUGAAAAUCAGAUUUCAGUGGAUUGAAGAGUAAAACACAUGGAACUGA